This 624-nucleotide ribosomal RNA is filed under the name uncultured bacterium. Its description in RNAcentral is "bacterial SSU rRNA". It matches the Rfam family "Bacterial small subunit ribosomal RNA", at positions 37 to 673 of the family's 1533-position model. The record is from RNAcentral.
UGGCGGCGUGCCUAAGACGUGCAAGUCGUGCGAUUCUCUGGGGCUUGCUCCAGAGGAUAGCGGCGGACGGGUGAGUAACGCGUAGGCAACCUGCCCACAGGACCGGGACAACAGGACGAAAGCCCUGCUAAUACCGGAUAGGCACCAGGCCCCGCAUGGAGCUCGGUGGAAAGGGGUAACCCACCUGUGGAUGGGCCUGCGUCCCAUUAGCUUGUUGGUGAGGUAACGGCCCACCAAGGCUUCGAUGGGUAGCCGACCUGAGAGGGUGACCGGCCACACUGGGACUGAGACACGGCCCAGACUCCUACGGGAGGCAGCAGUCGGGAAUUUUCCACAAUGGGCGAAAGCCUGAUGGAGCAACGCCGCGUGAGUGAGGAGGGUCUUCGGAUUGUAAAACUCUGUCCCGAGGGAAGAACACAAUGACGGUACCUCGGGAGGAAGCCCCGGCUAACUACGUGCCAGCAGCCGCGGUAAUACGUAGGGGGCAAGCGUUGUCCGGAGUUACUGGGCGUAAAGGGCGUGUAGGCGGUUCGCUAAGUCGGGUGUGAAAGUGCAGGGCUUAACCUUGCAAGUGCAUCCGAAACUGGCGGGCUAGAGGGAAGUAGAGGAAAGCGGAAUUCCCGG